RNAcentral lists this ribosomal RNA (1730 nucleotides) under Klebsiella pneumoniae. RNAcentral describes it as "partial 23S ribosomal RNA". It matches the Rfam family "Bacterial large subunit ribosomal RNA", at positions 1 to 1767 of the family's 2925-position model. Lineage: Bacteria; Pseudomonadati; Pseudomonadota; Gammaproteobacteria; Enterobacterales; Enterobacteriaceae. The record is from RNAcentral.
GGGUUGUGAGGUUAAGCGACUAAGCGUACACGGUGGAUGCCCUGGCAGUCAGAGGCGAUGAAGGACGUGCUAAUCUGCGAAAAGCGUCGGUAAGGUGAUAUGAACCGUUAUAACCGGCGAUGUCCGAAUGGGGAAACCCAGUGCAAUUCGUUGCACUAUCGUUAACUGAAUACAUAGGUUAACGAGGCGAACCGGGGGAACUGAAACAUCUAAGUACCCCGAGGAAAAGAAAUCAACCGAGAUUCCCCCAGUAGCGGCGAGCGAACGGGGAGCAGCCCAGAGUCUGAAUCAGCUUGUGUGUUAGUGGAACGGUCUGGAAAGUCCGACGGUACAGGGUGAUAGUCCCGUACACCAAAAUGCACAGGCUGUGAACUCGAAGAGUAGGGCGGGACACGUGGUAUCCUGUCUGAAUAUGGGGGGACCAUCCUCCAAGGCUAAAUACUCCUGACUGACCGAUAGUGAACCAGUACCGUGAGGGAAAGGCGAAAAGAACCCCGGCGAGGGGAGUGAAAAAGAACCUGAAACCGUGUACGUACAAGCAGUGGGAGCACCUUCGGGUGUGACUGCGUACCUUUUGUAUAAUGGGUCAGCGACUUAUAUUCUGUAGCAAGGUUAACCGUAUAGGGGAGCCGCAGGGAAACCGAGUCUUAACUGGGCGUUAAGUUGCAGGGUAUAGACCCGAAACCCGGUGAUCUAGCCAUGGGCAGGUUGAAGGUUGGGUAACACUAACUGGAGGACCGAACCGACUAAUGUUGAAAAAUUAGCGGAUGACUUGUGGCUGGGGGUGAAAGGCCAAUCAAACCGGGAGAUAGCUGGUUCUCCCCGAAAGCUAUUUAGGUAGCGCCUCGUGAACUCAUCUUCGGGGGUAGAGCACUGUUUCGGCUAGGGGGUCAUCCCGACUUACCAACCCGAUGCAAACUACGAAUACCGAAGAAUGUUAUCACGGGAGACACACGGCGGGUGCUAACGUCCGUCGUGAAGAGGGAAACAACCCAGACCGCCAGCUAAGGUCCCAAAGUCAUGGUUAAGUGGGAAACGAUGUGGGAAGGCACAGACAGCCAGGAUGUUGGCUUAGAAGCAGCCAUCAUUUAAAGAAAGCGUAAUAGCUCACUGGUCGAGUCGGCCUGCGCGGAAGAUGUAACGGGGCUAAACCAUGCACCGAAGCUGCGGCAGCGACACUAUGUGUUGUUGGGUAGGGGAGCGUUCUGUAAGCCUGCGAAGGUGUGCUGUGAGGCAUGCUGGAGGUAUCAGAAGUGCGAAUGCUGACAUAAGUAACGAUAAAGCGGGUGAAAAGCCCGCUCGCCGGAAGACCAAGGGUUCCUGUCCAACGUUAAUCGGGGCAGGGUGAGUCGACCCCUAAGGCGAGGCCGAAAGGCGUAGUCGAUGGGAAACAGGUUAAUAUUCCUGUACUUGGUGUUACUGCGAAGGGGGGACGGAGAAGGCUAUGUUAGCCGGGCGACGGUUGUCCCGGUUUAAGCAUGUAGGCUGGUUGUCCAGGCAAAUCCGGAUAAUCAAGGCUGAGGUGUGAUGACGAGGCACUACGGUGCUGAAGUAACAAAUGCCCUGCUUCCAGGAAAAGCCUCUAAGCAUCAGGUAACAUUAAAUCGUACCCCAAACCGACACAGGUGGUCAGGUAGAGAAUACCAAGGCGCUUGAGAGAACUCGGGUGAAGGAACUAGGCAAAAUGGUGCCGUAACUUCGGGAGAAGGCACGCUGGUGUGUAGGUGAAG